GACGAACGCUGGCGGCGUGCUUAACACAUGCAAGUCGAACGGAAAGGCCCUGCUUUUGUGGGGUGCUCGAGUGGCGAACGGGUGAGUAACACGUGAGUAACCUGCCCUUGACUUUGGGAUAACUUCAGGAAACUGGGGCUAAUACCGGAUAGGAGCUCCUGCUGCAUGGUGGGGGUUGGAAAGUUUCGGCGGUUGGGGAUGGACUCGCGGCUUAUCAGCUUGUUGGUGGGGUAGUGGCUUACCAAGGCUUUGACGGGUAGCCGGCCUGAGAGGGUGACCGGCCACAUUGGGACUGAGAUACGGCCCAGACUCCUACGGGAGGCAGCAGUGGGGAAUAUUGCACAAUGGGCGGAAGCCUGAUGCAGCAACGCCGCGUGCGGGAUGACGGCCCUCGGGUUGUAAACCGCUUUCGCCUGUGACGAAGCGUGAGUGACGGUAAUGGGUAAAGAAGCACCGGCUAACUACGUGC
RNAcentral lists this ribosomal RNA (469 nucleotides) under uncultured bacterium. RNAcentral's name for it is "partial 16S ribosomal RNA". It matches the Rfam family "Bacterial small subunit ribosomal RNA", at positions 28 to 508 of the family's 1533-position model. The record is from RNAcentral.